CUACGGGUGGCUGCAGUUUCGAAUCAUUCACAAUGGGCGAAAGCCUGAUGGUGCGACGCCGCGUGAGGGAUGAAGGUCUUCGGAUUGUAAACCUCUGUCACCGGGGAAGAAACGCUUUGAGUUAAUAGUUCAAAGCCUGACUUAACCCGGAGAGGAAGCAGUGGCUAACUCUGUGCCAGCAGCCGCGGUAAUACAGAGACUGCAAGCGUUAUUCGGAUUCACUGGGCGUAAAGGGUGCGCAGGCGGCCAAGUGUGUGAGGUGUGAAAGCCCGGGGCUUAACUCCGGAAUUGCACCUCAAACUACUUGGCUAGAGCAUUGGAGAGGGUAGCAGAAUUCAUGGUGUAGCAGUGAAAUGCGUAGAUAUCAUGAGGAAUACCAGAGGCGAAGGCGGCUACCUGGACAAUUGCUGACGCUCAGGCACGAAAGCGUGGGGAGCAAAAGGGAUUAGAUACCCCCGUAGUC
Molecule: ribosomal RNA, 463 nt
Filed under: uncultured bacterium
Lineage: Bacteria
Description: partial 16S ribosomal RNA
Rfam family: Bacterial small subunit ribosomal RNA
Source: RNAcentral